RNAcentral lists this long non-coding RNA (1470 nucleotides) under Homo sapiens (human). RNAcentral describes it as "HSALNT0056430". The record is from RNAcentral. Lineage: Eukaryota; Metazoa; Chordata; Mammalia; Primates; Hominidae.
AGAGAUCAAACCUGGAGAUAAAAGAUUUUGAAACUAUCAGAAUUUCAAUGGUACCUGAAUCCAUCAGACCAAAUGAACCUAAGAGAAUGAAAGGAUAACAAGGAACAAGUACAGAAUCCACAGAAAUACUAAUAUUUACAAACAGAAAUAGACUGUUAAAACCAAGAAGGAACUUUCUGAGUUUAUUUCACAAAUUAAGAAAAGCUCAAUAUUAGAAAGUCUACUAAUACAAUUCAUCAUAUUCAGAGUCCUGAGGAGAAAAAUCCUUUAAUUGUCCACAUAGGCAUUAAGAAGAUAAGUCUUAGAAACAGAUUCCAGGUUCUGAUUUCUGCAUGUAAGAAGCUUAGAAGUAGCCAGGUGCAGUGGCUCAUGCCUGUAAUCCCAGCACUUUGGGAGACCGAGGUGGGCAGAUCACCUGAAGUCAGAAGUUCAAGACCAACCUGGUCAACAUGGCAAAACCCUGUCUCUACUAAAAAUACAAAAAUUAGGCUGGGCAUGGAGGCUCACACCUGUAACCCCAGCACUUCGGGAGCUUGAGGUGGGUGGAUCACAUGAAGUCAGGAGUUUCAGACCAACCUGGCCCACAUGGCAAAACCCCAUCUCUACUAAAAAUACAAAUAUUAGCGAAGUGUGGUGGUGUGUGCCAGUAGUACCAGCUACUUGGGAGGCUGAAGCAGAAGAAUUGCUUGAACCUGGGAGGUGGAGGUUGCAGUGAGCCAAGAUCAUGCCACUGCACUACAGCCUGGAUGACAGAGUGAGCUCUGCCUCAAAAAAUUAAAAAAUAAAAUAAUAAUAAUACAAAAAUUAGCCAGCAUGGUGGUGGGUGCCUGUAAUCUCAGCUACUCAGGAGGUUGAGGCAGGGAGAAUCACUUGAACCUGGGAGCCAGAUGUUAAGGUGAGCUGAGAUUGCACCACUGCACUCCAGCCUGAGCAACAAAGUGAGAGUCCAUCUCAAAAAAAGGAAGAAAAAAAAAAAGAAUGGAAGUAAUCAGUCCACCUUAACAACACAUGAAAAGCUGAAAAGGUCAGGUGUGGUGGCUCAUGCCUGUAAUCCCAGCACUUUGGGAGGCCAAAGCAGGAGGAUCCCUUGAGUCCAGGAGUUUGAGACCAGCCUGUGCAACAUAGUGAGACCCCCAACUCUAAAAAAAAAAUUUAAAUAAAACAAAAGCUGAAGAGACUGAAAAAUCAACAAUCCUUUUUGGAUUUGAAUGUGAAGAGAGGACAUAGGGCAAACCACUGCCCCCAAGAUUGGAGAGAUAGAGAAGUGAAUAUGGGAAUUUAUGGCUUACAGGAACAGAGACUCACUACUGAAACCACCUUAGGAACCAGUGCUGGAGUAGAAAAUCUUGAACUAUAACUGGUGAAUUGCUGAAGGUUCCAUAUGGACAACUCAAGGAGGUAAAAACACCAGGGAGAUCCAGUUAUGAGGGAGCAUAAUAUUGUAAAAUUUACCUCCUGGAGCUCCACCAG